RNAcentral lists this long non-coding RNA (1680 nucleotides) under Homo sapiens (human). The record is from RNAcentral. Lineage: Eukaryota; Metazoa; Chordata; Mammalia; Primates; Hominidae.
GUGGGAGGAUCCACUUCCAAAACGUCUCACUCACAUGACUAUUGGCAGAAAGCCUCAGUUCCUUGAAAAUGUGGACUUCUCUGCAGGCCUUCUGGAGUGUCCUCCUGACAGCAACUGGCCUUUCCCAGAGAGAGUGAUCCAACAGAGAGAGCAAGUAGGAUAUAGCUGCGCCUUUCAUGACAGCCUCAGAAGCCACAAAUCACCGUGUCUGCUAUGUUUUAUUCAUCAGAAGUGAGUCGCUGAGUCCAACCAUAUUCACAGGGAGGCAAAGUAAGCUCUACCUCUUAAAGGAAAGGAGUAUCCAAGAAUUUGUGGAUAUAUUUUAAAACGGCCACAGACCUCAGAUGGACAGAAUUCAACUCAUCACAUUUCUUGGUUCUUGACACGCUCUCCUCGUUAGUCCAUCACAUAUUGCACGGAUUCAUUCAUAUCGCUGCAUGUAGGCUGCUUUGACCUGCUGUAGAAUAUCUCAUUGUGUGGAUGCACAUGUGGAUCACUGAGUAUGUCAGAGCUGGCAAGAUACGUCAGAAGAGAAAGGAGAAACUCUUAACUAAAUAGAGUUGGAAAUAAAAUAAUUGUCUGUAUGGAAUAAGAUCAAAGGUCCCACAUGUUAAAGUCAACCCCAGAUGAAUUAAAGUCUUACAUGUCAAAAAAAAUUGAAACUUUUAGAAGAAAAUUAAGGUGGAUAUAUUUUAGACCUUAAGGUAGAGAAAGAUUUCUUAAAGAAGACACUUACAGGAUUGAUUACAAACAAAAAGACUGGUACAUUUGAAUGUAUUAUGUUAAGAACUUUUCCACCAAAAGAAAGCCUCGAUUUCCUCAUUUUUAAGAUGAGGAUAAUAAUCCCUACCUUAUAGAAUUCUAAUAAGAUGAAAUGAAGCAACAUAUACAAAAUACUUAGCACAGAUCCUAACACCUACAAAAUAAUAAAUGGUAACGAUUAUUAUUCUUCUCAAACAACAAUCCUAUUAUUUAUCAAAUAAUACUGAGUAAUAUGACAAGACAUAUUUAAACCACACAAGCCAUAUGCAGACAAGUGUUUAAUAUCAUAGUGAUAGUUUCAAGAGAGAGAUAAUAAUUUAUUCUACAUUUAUCAGAGGUCUAUAGCCCAGUAGUCAAUAAAUACUUAUCUAUAGUCAAUAAGUACUAUCAAGCAUCCAUGCCAGGAACCAUGCUAGGGGCUGAUUAAUUUACAUCAAUCACCAUGACUUUUUUCCCACAAACUAACACACACACAAUCUUCAUAGAUUUUUCUGUGAUCACAGCAAGGAAAAGACCUACGCAUGUUUGGAUCAUCUGUGUACAGUCCUACAGAAGAACUUUGACACUAUCAGAGACAGAAAUCUCAGAAUAGUCCAACUCUCACUUAUUUGUGCUAAUGAAAGAGUAAAGUAAAAGAGACAAUUAAAAUGGGAAAUGUGUUUUGUUUUGUUUUGGUGUUUUGUUUUACAAGUAUGCAAAAACCUCAAAUCAACCUGACCCAACAAUAAGGAAGCAAGUCAGAAAAAGGCAGUCUUCCAGAGCUGUUUGUUCAGCAGCUCAGUAAUGCCAUGAAGGUUUGCUUCCUUUCUCUGCUUUGUGUUUCUGGAGAGAGUCCGCAUACAUUUCAAUAUGGCUGACAGCAGUUCUGGAAUGUAUAAAGCCUUGCAUAAAGAAAAUGACAGUUCACUAUGAAAAUCU